Molecule: transfer RNA, 71 nt
Filed under: Bacillota bacterium
Lineage: Bacteria; Bacillati; Bacillota
Description: Firmicutes bacterium (gut metagenome) tRNA-Leu
Source: RNAcentral
GGAGAAACCAUGUAAUUAACAGACGGCGAUAAAAACCGGGCCCGUGGGUUCGAAUCCCACCUUCUCCGCCA